GUGGGGAAUAUUGGGCAAUGGGCGAAAGCCUGACCCAGCAACGCCGCGUGAAGGAAGAAGGUUUUCGGAUCGUAAACUUCUAUCCUUGGUGAAGAUAAUGACGGUAGCCAAGAAGGAAGCCCCGGCUAACUACGUGCCAGCAGCCGCGGUAAUACGUAGGGGGCAAGCGUUGUCCGGAAUGAUUGGGCGUAAAGGGCGCGUAGGCGGCCCGGUAAGUCUGAAGUGAAAGUCCUGCUUUUAAGGUGGGAAUUGCUUUGGAUACUGUCGGGCUUGAGUGCAGGAGAGGUAAGCGGAAUUCCCGGUGUAGCGGUGAAAUGCGUAGAGAUCGGGAGGAACACCAGUGGCGAAGGCGGCUUACUAAGCUACAACUGACACUGAAGCACGAAAGCGUGGGGAUCAAACAGGAUUAGAAACCCCUGUAGUCC
Molecule: ribosomal RNA, 425 nt
Filed under: uncultured bacterium
Lineage: Bacteria
Description: partial 16S ribosomal RNA
Rfam family: Bacterial small subunit ribosomal RNA
Source: RNAcentral